Molecule: ribosomal RNA, 301 nt
Filed under: uncultured bacterium
Lineage: Bacteria
Description: partial 16S ribosomal RNA
Rfam family: Bacterial small subunit ribosomal RNA
Source: RNAcentral
CAGUCGCCGCGGGAAUACGUAGGGUGCUAGCGUUAAUCGGAAUUACUGGGCGUAAAGCGCGCGCAGGCGGAUAGGUCAGUCUGUCUUAAAAGUUCGGGGCUUAACCCCGUGAUGGGAUGGAAACUGCCAAUCUAGAGUAUCGGAGAGGAAAGUGGAAUUCCUAGUGUAGCGGUGAAAUGCGUAGAUAUUAGGAAGAACACCAGUGGCGAAGGCGACUUUCUGGACGAAAACUGACGCUGAGGCGCGAAAGCCAGGGGAGCGAACGGGAUUAGAUACCCCUGUAGUCCCUGUCUCUUAUACA